ACUGCAGGGGUCUCAUAUUGUAAAAAAUUUUUAUUUAUAUCAAUUUUUAUUUUAACUGUCACUGUCCUAAUUUAUUUAACUCAUUUUUAUUAUCUAACUAAUAUCUUUUGUUCUCUUCAUGCAAUCUGUUUAUUUCUCAACGGCGGAGAUUAUUUGUCUGCUUUAAUCCUCGUUUGAAUAUUAACUAUAUAUAUUCUCUAUUUUUAAUGUUUCGUAUAUCCACGGUUAACGCUCAGUCACUUGUAAGCAGCGCUGUCAAAAACACCGAAUUACAGCAUUCAAAAAUGUACUUGUAUAGUGACUGCAAGUUGCCACAAAAUUUUUUAUCCAUGGCUUCGGUUGGUCGUGACUUGGUGUUAUAGAGAAAGCUUGCCAUCUCCUCUAUCAUACACGGUGGAAAAGCUACACCACGGCUUGUGCAAAUCAUGAGUGACUCAGCUGAAUACCGGAACGACGAUGGCCGAACAAUUAAUUGUUACAAUUAUAUUAUGCGGAUAUUGUAUACCUUAUUCUAAUGAAGCCAUCGAUCAAAAUAUGUCACUCAUACCUAUUGAUUAAAAAAGUAAUAGAUACUACAUGCCUUUUUCUUUUUUUAAAAUAAUUACCAUAUUUUAUCUGUAUUCUUGUAACAAUGCUAAUAAAAGUACGCUACCAUUACAUAA
Molecule: long non-coding RNA, 662 nt
Organism: Solenopsis invicta (red fire ant)
Lineage: Eukaryota; Metazoa; Arthropoda; Insecta; Hymenoptera; Formicidae
Exons: 3
Source: RefSeq, a predicted model, not a curated record